UCCGGUUUGUCACCGGCAGUCUCAUUAGAGUGCCCAACUGAAUGUAGCAACUAAUGACAAGGGUUGCGCUCGUUGCGGGACUUAACCCAACAUCUCACGACACGAGCUGACGACAGCCAUGCAGCACCUGUGUUCAGGUUCCCUUUCGGGCACAUCCACCUCUCAGCGGACUUCCUGACAUGUCAAGGGUAGGUAAGGUUUUUCGCGUUGCAUCGAAUUAAGCCACAUACUCCACCGCUUGUGCAGGCCCCCGUCAAUUUCUUUGAGUUUUAAUCUUGCGACCGUACUUCCCAGGCGGCAUAUUUAUCGCGUUAGCUGCGGUACUAAGGAAGUCUCCUUCCCCAACACCUAGUCGACAUCGUUUAGGGCGUGGACUAC
RNAcentral lists this unclassified non-coding RNA (378 nucleotides) under uncultured Gammaproteobacteria bacterium. RNAcentral's name for it is "contains 16S-23S intergenic spacer region". Lineage: Bacteria; Pseudomonadati; Pseudomonadota; Gammaproteobacteria. The record is from RNAcentral.